RNAcentral lists this non-coding RNA (26 nucleotides) under Rattus norvegicus (Norway rat). The record is from RNAcentral. Lineage: Eukaryota; Metazoa; Chordata; Mammalia; Rodentia; Muridae.
UGUGGCUUCAGAAGAGAAACCCACAA